RNAcentral lists this ribosomal RNA (500 nucleotides) under uncultured bacterium. RNAcentral's name for it is "partial 16S ribosomal RNA". It matches the Rfam family "Bacterial small subunit ribosomal RNA", at positions 30 to 523 of the family's 1533-position model. The record is from RNAcentral.
AUUGAACGCUGGCGGAAUGCUUUACACAUGCAAGUCGAACGGCAGCACGGACUUCGGUCUGGUGGCGAGUGGCGAACGGGUGAGUAAUGUAUCGGAACGUGCCCAGUCGUGGGGGAUAACGUAGUGAAAAUUACGCUAAUACCGCAUACGAUCUAUGGAUGAAAGCGGGGGAUCGCAGGACCUCGCGCGAUUGGAGCGGCCGAGAUAAGAUGAGGUAGUUGGUGGGUUAAAGGCCCACCAAGCCAACGAUCUGUAGCUGGGCUGAGAGGACGACCAGCCACACUGGAACUGAGACACGGUCCAGACUCCUACGGGGGGCAGCAGUGGGGAAUUUUGGACAAUGGGCGAAAGCCUGAUCCAGCCAUUCCGCGUGCAGGAUGAAGGCCCUCGGGUUGUAAACUGCUUUUGUACAGAACGAAAAGGUUUCUACUAAUACUAGGAGCUCAUGACGGUACUGUAAGAAUAAGCACCGGCUAACUACGUGCCAGCCGCCGCCGUAA